CUGGAGGUAUCAGAAGUGCGAAUGCUGACAUAAGUAACGAUAAAGCGGGUGAAAAGCCCGCUCGCCGGAAGACCAAGGGUUCCUGUCCAACGUUAAUCGGGGCAGGGUGAGUCGACCCCUAAGGCGAGGCCGAAAGGCGUAGUCGAUGGGAAACGGGUUAAUAUUCCCGUACUUGGUGUUACUGCGAAGGGGGGACGGAGAAGGCUAUGUUGGCCGGGCGACGGUUGUCCCGGUUUAAGCGUGUAGGUGUGUGUUCCAGGUAAAUCCGGUUCACUUUAACACUGAGGCGUGAUGACGAGGCACUACGGUGCUGAAGCAACAAAUGCCCUGCUUCCAGGAAAAGCCUCUAAGCAUCAGGUAA
This 361-nucleotide ribosomal RNA is filed under the name Salmonella enterica subsp. enterica serovar Infantis. RNAcentral describes it as "partial 23S ribosomal RNA". It matches the Rfam family "Bacterial large subunit ribosomal RNA", at positions 1273 to 1634 of the family's 2925-position model. Lineage: Bacteria; Pseudomonadati; Pseudomonadota; Gammaproteobacteria; Enterobacterales; Enterobacteriaceae. The record is from RNAcentral.